UGGGGAAUAUUGCACAAUGGGGGAAACCCUGAUGCAGCGACGCCGCGUGAGUGAAGAAGUAUUUCGGUACGUAAAGCUCUAUCAGCAGGGAAGAAAAUGACGGUACCUGACUAAGAAGCCCCGGCUAACUACGUGCCAGCAGCCGCGGUAAUACGUAGGGGGCAAGCGUUAUCCGGAUUUACUGGGUGUAAAGGGAGCGUAGACGGCAGCGCAAGUCUGGAGUGAAAUCCCAUGGCUUAACCAUGGAACUGCUUUGGAAACUGUGCAGCUAGAGUGCAGGAGAGGUAAGCGGAAUUCCUAGUG
This 303-nucleotide ribosomal RNA is filed under the name uncultured bacterium. Its description in RNAcentral is "bacterial SSU rRNA". It matches the Rfam family "Bacterial small subunit ribosomal RNA", at positions 355 to 675 of the family's 1533-position model. The record is from RNAcentral.